This 378-nucleotide ribosomal RNA is filed under the name Triticum aestivum (bread wheat). RNAcentral describes it as "partial small subunit ribosomal RNA". The record is from RNAcentral. Lineage: Eukaryota; Viridiplantae; Streptophyta; Magnoliopsida; Poales; Poaceae.
AUGGCGGACGAGCAGUACUACGCUGACCCGCCAGGGGCGCCACACGGGCUGCUGCUGGCGAUGGCGUUGGGGCUGCUGGUUGCCUGGCCGCUUUUCGUGGGUCAAGGGGGUGCGCCGGUAACCGAUGCCAUCGCCAAUGGCAUCGCCGAGCUGCUCGGCCCCGUGGGCCUACUCCUCCUCCCUAUCGGGCUCCUUCUCCUCAUCAGCCUCCUAUCCUCCUACCGCGGCCAUGACGUGUUCGCCUUCGGCGGCUCGCCCGACGCUGUGCACCACAUUGGGGAAUCCGCCAUCGGCGUGGCGCUCAUGCUGGUCCUCGUCCUCGUCCUUCUCUACUACCGGUCCGUGCUCUUCGGCGGCGGCGGAGACGACGACGAGUAG